Molecule: non-coding RNA, 296 nt
Organism: Cinara cedri
Lineage: Eukaryota; Metazoa; Arthropoda; Insecta; Hemiptera; Aphididae
Source: the annotation of a GenBank genome assembly
UCAUUUCCAUAAUUUCACUUGGGGUGUCUGAAGGGAUGUACAAAACUAAAAAAACAUCUUUCUCCAACAACAUGGUGAAGUUCAUAUACAUUGAAAUUCAAUCGAAAUUGUAUCACUUCAUCAAUCCACCUGUAAAAAAUAAAAAGCUAAUCCCCGAGUUUGAACUCAUUUGGUCCAGAGAGAGCCGCUAAAAAUGUCCAAAUGUACAGAGGCAAAGAUAAUAUAACAAACACAAUAUACACUGCAAUCGAUCGAAUCGGUCGAAAAGUUGUUCACAGACAAACAAAAAAUACGCU